RNAcentral lists this transfer RNA (65 nucleotides) under uncultured Eubacterium sp. It matches the Rfam family "tRNA". Rfam says of the family: Transfer RNA (tRNA) molecules are approximately 80 nucleotides in length. Their secondary structure includes four short double-helical elements and three loops (D, anti-codon, and T loops). Lineage: Bacteria; Bacillati; Bacillota; Clostridia; Eubacteriales; Eubacteriaceae. The record is from RNAcentral.
GGAGUAGCCAAGCGGUAAGGCAACGGACUUUGACUCCGUCAUUCGUGGGUUCGAACCCCGCCUCC